AACGAACGCUGGCGGCAUGCCUAACACGUGCCAGUCGAACGAGACCUUCGGGUCUAGUGGCGCACGGGUGCGUAACGCGUGGGAACCUGCCCUUAGGUUCGGAAUAACUCCCCGAAAGGGGUGCUAAUACCGGAUAAUGUCUUCGGACCAAAGAUUUAUCGCCUUUGGAUGGGCCCGCGUUGGAUUAGCUAGUUGGUAGGGUAAAAGCCUACCAAGGCGACGAUCCAUAGCUGGUCUGAGAGGAUGAUCAGCCACACUGGGACUGAGACACGGCCCAGACUACUACGGGAGGCAGCAGUGGGGAAUAUUGGACAAUGGGCGAAAGCCUGAUCCAGCAAUGCCGCGUGAGUGAUGAAGGCCUUAGGGUUGUAAAGCUCUUUUACCCGGGAUGAUAAUGACAGUACCGGGAGAAUAAGCUCCGGCUAACUCCGUG
This 433-nucleotide ribosomal RNA is filed under the name uncultured bacterium. RNAcentral describes it as "partial 16S ribosomal RNA". It matches the Rfam family "Bacterial small subunit ribosomal RNA", at positions 29 to 507 of the family's 1533-position model. The record is from RNAcentral.